UACAGCCACCAACUUCACUCCUUAUUAUAUCACCCACCAAAUCCUUCUCUCUUUACGCAUCAACAGCUUGAGGAAGUUGUCAUAAUUGCUGCAAGAUUCGAGAGCUAUCUUCUCAUUGAACUCAACAUCACCGCAGCCAACCAAAAGCACAAACAUUCAAGGUCGAGCGCAAGAAUAAGAGCUCGUCAAGGAGUCACUAAUCUGUAGCAAAGCUUUGCUAUCAGGUUGAGCAGCUGCCGAUGGUGAUGAAGUGACGAGCGGGACUCUUUUGUCUUAUUAUGUAUUAAUGAACUCUAGGGUUACAUGUCUUCAUACAUGUAAUCAGAACCUUAUUCCGCUGCGUACUCAGAAGUUUUAUGUUAUUUUGGAUAAGUCGGAGUUAUCCGAACUUACUAGUUAUUUGAGUCUAUACGACUAAAACUCCGUUAUAUUAUAA
Long non-coding RNA from Salvia miltiorrhiza (redroot sage), 436 nucleotides. RefSeq lists it as uncharacterized. The record is from RefSeq and is a predicted model, not a curated record. The transcript has 4 exons. NCBI's taxonomy places the organism in Eukaryota, Viridiplantae, Streptophyta, Magnoliopsida, Lamiales, Lamiaceae.